AAGUCGGUGAGGUAACCUUCAUGGAGCCAGCCGCCUAAGGUGGGACAGAUGAUUGGGGUGAAGUCGUAACAAGGUAGCCGUAUCGGAAGGUGCGGCUGGAUCACCUCCUUUCUAAGGAUAAUUACGAGAGCGCUUUUGUUUUGUUCAGUUUUGAAUGAGUAAUUCAUUCAAAUAGGAAAGACGAACAUCACGAUGUGAUGGAUUCUUUCUGCUUUGUUCCUUGAAAACUAGAUAAUAGAUAGAAGGCAAUUAAUUUUUUUCAAAGCAUCUGUAAGAUCUUUUUUAACGGUUAAGUUAGAAAGGGCGCACGGUGGAUGCCU
This 320-nucleotide unclassified non-coding RNA is filed under the name Peribacillus simplex. Its description in RNAcentral is "Bacillus simplex partial contains 16S ribosomal RNA, 16S-23S ribosomal RNA intergenic spacer, and 23S ribosomal RNA". The stretch from base 1 to 111 matches the Rfam family "Bacterial small subunit ribosomal RNA", at positions 1424 to 1533 of the family's 1533-position model. The record is from RNAcentral. Lineage: Bacteria; Bacillati; Bacillota; Bacilli; Caryophanales; Bacillaceae.